RNAcentral lists this ribosomal RNA (293 nucleotides) under uncultured bacterium. Its description in RNAcentral is "partial 16S ribosomal RNA". It matches the Rfam family "Bacterial small subunit ribosomal RNA", at positions 505 to 796 of the family's 1533-position model. The record is from RNAcentral.
GUGCCAGCAGCCGCGGUAAGACGAACCGUGCGAACGUUAUUCGGAAUCACUGGGCUUAAAGCGCGUGUAGGCGGGCCGGCACGUCGGUCGUUGAAAUCCCCCGGCUCAACCGGGGAACGGGCGCGGAUACGACCGCCCUCGAGGGGCGUAGGGGGACCUGGAACUUCCGGUGGAGCGGUGAAAUGCGUUGAGAUCGGAAGGAACGCCCGUGGCGAAAGCGAGGUCCUGGACGCCAUCUGACGCUGAGACGCGAAAGCCAGGGGAGCGAACGGGAUUAGAAACCCUGGUAGUCC